RNAcentral lists this transfer RNA (76 nucleotides) under Rhodobacterales bacterium. Its description in RNAcentral is "tRNA-Lys". It matches the Rfam family "tRNA". From Rfam's summary of the family: Transfer RNA (tRNA) molecules are approximately 80 nucleotides in length. Their secondary structure includes four short double-helical elements and three loops (D, anti-codon, and T loops). The record is from RNAcentral. Lineage: Bacteria; Pseudomonadati; Pseudomonadota; Alphaproteobacteria; Rhodobacterales.
GGGUGCAUAGCUCAGUUGGCAGAGCAACCGCCUUUUAAGCGGUCGGUCCUAGGUUCGAAUCCUAGUGCACCCACCA